This is a long non-coding RNA of Peromyscus leucopus (white-footed mouse), 539 nucleotides long. RefSeq lists it as uncharacterized. The transcript has 3 exons. The record is from RefSeq and is a predicted model, not a curated record. NCBI's taxonomy places the organism in Eukaryota, Metazoa, Chordata, Mammalia, Rodentia, Cricetidae.
AGUCUUGGUGGUGAUCCUUCUGCUUCAGCAUCCUGAGUGGCUGAGAUUACAAGCCUACACCACCAUGUCCAGAUCACUGUCAUCUAUCAAUAUGGAACAAAAGAAGUAUGAGUGAGCUGAAAAGAUUGGGAGCACCAUCAGACUACAACAUAAGUGAUCACCAGAGAGAAAGUGCCUCUGAUAAGGAUGAUGAGAAGGUUUCAGCCAGGGUGCCAGUACUUCUGCAAGAUAAAGAUGGACGUCAGAACAUCUCCUCUUUCUGAAAAAGGUCAUCAUUUAAUUCCCCUGCCUUGCUCCAUCACUGGUGGAGAGUAGUGGUUAGGACCAUGUCAAUGUCGCAGAAGAUUUUACAGUGCAAUAGUUGUGGGUCUUUGUCAGCUACAUUCUCCAUAGAGAGAGAUACAAAGCAAACAAUCCCAAGACCUUACAUAUAGGUAUUGCAAGAGGAAAGAACAUUCAUCCUUCUGCCACCUAAAGGCAAAUUGUUUGUAUUUUGGCAUAUUCCUCAAUUUUUAAUGCAUUUUUAUGUAUCACAAAUA